AAAUUGAAGAGUUUGAUCAUGGCUCAGAUUGAACGCUGGCGGCAGGCCUAACACAUGCAAGUCGAACGGUAACAGGAAGCAGCUUGCUGCUUUGCUGACGAGUGGCGGACGGGUGAGUAAUGUCUGGGAAACUGCCUGAUGGAGGGGGAUAACUACUGGAAACGGUAGCUAAUACCGCAUAACGUCGCAAGACCAAAGAGGGGGACCUUCGGGCCUCUUGCCAUCGGAUGUGCCCAGAUGGGAUUAGCUUGUUGGUGAGGUAACGGCUCACCAAGGCGACGAUCCCUAGCUGGUCUGAGAGGAUGACCAGCCACACUGGAACUGAGACACGGUCCAGACUCCUACGGGAGGCAGCAGUGGGGAAUAUUGCACAAUGGGCGCAAGCCUGAUGCAGCCAUGCCGCGUGUAUGAAGAAGGCCUUCGGGUUGUAAAGUACUUUCAGCGGGGAGGAAGGGAGUAAAGUUAAUACCUUUGCUCAUUGACGUUACCCGCAGAAGAAGCACCGGCUAACUCCGUGCCAGCAGCCGCGGUAAUACGGAGGGUGCAAGCGUUAAUCGGAAUUACUGGGCGUAAAGCGCACGCAGGCGGUUUGUUAAGUCAGAUGUGAAAUCCCCGGGCUCAACCUGGGAACUGCAUCUGAUACUGG
This 646-nucleotide ribosomal RNA is filed under the name Escherichia albertii. Its description in RNAcentral is "bacterial SSU rRNA". It matches the Rfam family "Bacterial small subunit ribosomal RNA", at positions 1 to 636 of the family's 1533-position model. The record is from RNAcentral. Lineage: Bacteria; Pseudomonadati; Pseudomonadota; Gammaproteobacteria; Enterobacterales; Enterobacteriaceae.